AUCUGGAAGGAAUCUGGAGACAGGUGCUGCAUGGCUGUCGUCAGCUCGUGUCGUGAGAUGUUGGGUUAAGUCCCGCAACGAGCGCAACCCUUGCCUUUAGUUGCCAGCAGUUCGGCUGGGCACUCUAAAGGGACUGCCGGUGUUAAACCGGAGGAAGGUGGGGAUGACGUCAAGUCCUCAUGGCCUUUAUGACCAGGGCUACACACGUACUACAAUGGCCGAUACAAAGGGCAGCGACACUGCGAGGUGAAGCCAAUCCCGUAAAAUCGGUCUCAGUCCGGAUUGGAGUCUGCAACUCGACUCCAUGAAGUUGGAAUCGCUAGUAAUCGUGGAUCAGCAUGCCACGGUGAAUACGUUCCCGGGCCUU
This 367-nucleotide ribosomal RNA is filed under the name uncultured Desulfobulbus sp. Its description in RNAcentral is "bacterial SSU rRNA". It matches the Rfam family "Bacterial small subunit ribosomal RNA", at positions 1014 to 1382 of the family's 1533-position model. The record is from RNAcentral. Lineage: Bacteria; Pseudomonadati; Thermodesulfobacteriota; Desulfobulbia; Desulfobulbales; Desulfobulbaceae.